Molecule: long non-coding RNA, 2628 nt
Organism: Artibeus jamaicensis (Jamaican fruit-eating bat)
Lineage: Eukaryota; Metazoa; Chordata; Mammalia; Chiroptera; Phyllostomidae
Exons: 2
Source: RefSeq, a predicted model, not a curated record
UGGCGUUGGUUUCUGAUUAUGCACUUCCUCUCUUUCUUGAAGGAGUUGGGUGGGCUAGCUCAGCCCAUCACGAGUAUCGCUCAAUUAGCUUCCUUUUCCAGAGUUUGCCUUCUUCCUGUGUGCUUGGUAAUUCCAGUUUAUCUCCUUUGUGUGGUUUCUGAGAAAGGUUUGUAUGGGCUCGGAAAAUGAGUGACUAAAGCCGUCAGUCUCUGCUUUGGAGUCCUUUCCUAUUAAAAAACUGUUUGUUUUGAUCUGCCAUGAAAAGUAUUAGCCUGGUUCUCAUCCACAGGAGUCGUAAAUUCUUGCUCUUUUUUGGCAACAGAUUUUAAUUAAAAUUACAUUGAGUAGGCUUCUCUAACAAAAACCUCAAGGAAGACCCAAUCAAGAAAUCAGACUUAAUAAGAGCCAUUCAAACACUUCUAGAAAUUCUCACUCAAAAAAAAAUGGAUGUUUCCAUUUUUCCUCUCUUGGCUUCUCUGCUGGAUAUUUUUGGAGUGAGCUGUAACUGCUUUACUCAUUUCCAUAUGCUUGAGGAAAAGUAUGCUGGCGUGUUAGAGGCUCAGCCUGCUUCUGCUUUUUGAUUGCAGUUCAUUGUGAAGCCUGAGAACGAGAAGGUUGAAACUGUGCAGCCCACUUGUAUUGGUAUAUAUAACCUUAGUGAUCUCUCAACUUAAAAAUAAGUAUGACGCUAUUUGGAGAAUUAAAAAAAAACAGUGACUAGAUUUCUAAUCCUAGCAGUUUUGGGAGCAAGCCAUGGCUGAAAAUUCGGAUUAAAUGUUAUUAUAUAAUAUUCAGAAGGCCUUUCCAAGCAACAGAUAGAAAAGCAGAACUAUAGACAUGAGGGAGAACCAGGCCAAGGGACAAAUGGUUGGGUUCAUAUUUGUUCUCAUGCUGAAAGUUAAAUGUUCGUGCCACUCUUACCCCGUCUUGUGGGUGAUGAACCAGAUUUGAGUGGUCGGUCUGUGCUGUUUCUCCCAGCUGGGUCAAAGGUUGUGAACAAGGUCACAGUUUGACCAUGUGAACCUUUAUUUAAAGGAGCUGAUACCAGAGUAAUAGUUUAUGGACUUCAUUAGCUAUUCAUAGUCACACUUACCAAGUUUAUUUUAGGUUCUUUUUGAUGAUUUUGUUUAAUUGGAAAAGUUUUUUCUCUGAGGGAUCUUUUGUAUUUUGGACAUGAUUUUUAUUGGAUAGAAUCAAGAGAUAGUCAUGUGAUUUUCUAAAUUUAGUCCCAUAAUGUUUGGUUUAGUUGAUAAAUCCCAUCAGCUUUGCAAAUGCUCUUAUGAAAACAUUGGUUCAGCUUGUCCUGCCAGACUUUCCCAUCCCUGCCCAUUUUUCUGAGGGCUUCUCUCUCACAUCGGGUGUGCAUUGCGCCAAGACACUUUUAGUGUUUCUGUCCAGUGGGCACAUUUAAGAGUCUCCUGGAAGAAAAAAGGGGAGAAUAAUCCCAGAGUACAAUAUAAAAGAGGGAGACAAAUGUGAUAUUUCUAAUUAUUCAUAAUCCAGCUGCUUAAUAUCUUUAAAACCUAGUCGUGUACGUCAACUCUUACACUUUUAUAACUAAAAUCCCAAAAAGCUCACGCUGUCUGCUCUCAGUGUCCCCCUCAUCCAAUUCUGCAUGCCUACCAGGUACACGGCUCAUUAUUUCCUCUUCCCCAGCAUAGAGUGGCUGGGAUGCUUCAUUCACACAGGAACACACCAGGGAAAUGUUUUCUGAGGCAGCCUGUUUGGUGUGUUCCCCUCCAACCAGAGGACAAAGACUGAUUUGUCUUCCACUGACCUGGUAGAGGAGGCAGAAUACCUGCCGGCUUAUGCAGCCUGUGCCCGCACCGGGACUCCACCUCUUCCAGGAGUGAAUCAGACCAGAUGAUGCACUGGUUUUUACAGCACACCGGGGUGGAGGCCUGGAAGUCUCUAGGCCGGGAGGGGAGGAGGGAAUGGUUCGCAUGUCAAUCCAUUCCAGCAAUGCAGCCUACAGGAAAAAUUGCAAAACACCGAAGUCCUGUGCCACCAGAUUUUUCCAUUAGCACUACGCUUUCCACAGCUUCCAAGUCUGUUCCAGGGACGGCUGUUUGGCCGUGUGAGGGGAAACAGUCACAGCACAUCACAGGCUCUGCCAGCUUGUCCCGUAAGGAGUCCCAGCAGGCCCCGAGCACUGCCUUCUACCCUCCCUGGCAUCUCUCUCCCUCUCUCUCUCUCUCUCUCUCUCUCUCACACACACACACACACACACACACACAAGCUGUGGAUCCUCUGAGGGGUGCAUGGACGGAUGCUCUCUGGGCACUGGAAAACAGCUGCUGGGACUGACGCUGUCUCAGGAUACUGAUCUUAAGUGAAGAAACCUAAGACCAGAAAAUCUUCAGAAAGUUCGUUCCAGCAAGGACUCUCGGAAUCUAAAAUGAAAAGAAGUUGGUCACUUAGUGGGAAAAGGAGAGGGACAGGGACAGGAAUGAAAUCAGAUCCCGAAUGAGUAUCAUAAAGUCCUUGCUGGGUGGGUGCCCCCGAGGUGCCCCGCUGCAGCCUGGGAGUGUGUUUUGGUCAACUGACUCAAAGUUUUGUUUUAUUUUGAAUUAAUUGCCAAAAAUUUUAUAAAUAUGUCAUUUCAUAUAAAAAUACCAAUUUCUUCAA